This is a long non-coding RNA of Pongo pygmaeus (Bornean orangutan), 5152 nucleotides long. RefSeq lists it as uncharacterized. The record is from RefSeq and is a predicted model, not a curated record. Lineage: Eukaryota; Metazoa; Chordata; Mammalia; Primates; Hominidae. The transcript is spliced from 4 exons.
GUCUGGAGGUCCAACAUCAGGGAGUUGCCGGGACUGGUUUCAGACACACGGAGGAGAAGACACACAGAGAAAAGGAGGCAGUGAUGUGACCACAGAGGCAGAGAUUGGCAUGAUGCAGCCGCAAGAGGCAGGGUUAUGCAGGCCUCACGAUGCAACUGCUUCUGGAAAAUACAACUGCGUGCAUGGUGAAUCUUCAGCUGUUACUAAACAGCCUUCCCUGGACCUGACUAUCAGCAAUGAGAAUUACUCUUCUUUGCCCCAUUUCUCUCCUUCUGCCUAAGUCAGAACAAUCACUUCUCCUGGAGACAGAUUCAUUAUGAAAGGACUUUAAUUCUGGUCUGACAGACUGCUUGACAUCGGAGUGAAUUCUCAAGGCUUAUCCAGAUCAUCUCAUGGAAUGAUGAGUUGACUUGCACCCACUAAAACAGGAGCAAAUCUCCUUCAAAAGAUCAUGCCAAAGACUGUGUGGGUACUGGAAAGGCUGUGUGGCAGGGAAAAAGCUUUCUCUAACCUAGAAGUCUGCAAGGUCCCCUCUGCACCCCCAAGCAGGGGCCCGAGUUCAUUAAGGCCAGCAAAGCCAACUGACACCACAGGACACCCCGUGACACGAAGUUUUCAACCUCAUUGCUUUCCCCUGAAGUGAAGUUUAGUUACCUGUGCUGUGCUGGACCAGCCAUGAAAGUAAUGAGGGAACUGGAUCACUCCAGGGAAGCCCAGGUAGAAUAAUAGGUGUUACUCAAAAGUACGGCUUUCAACUUAAAAAGGAAGGAAAUUCUGAUACAUGCUACGUGGAUGAACAUUGAAGGCAUGAUGCUAAGUGAAAUAAGCCAGUCACAAAAUGACAAAUAUUGUAUGAUUCCAUUUAUAUGAGGUACUUACAGUAGUCACAUUUAUAGAAACUGGAAGUAGAAGGGAGGGUGGUUGCCAAGGGCUAGGGGAAAGAGGGAGUGAGGAGUUAGUGUGUAAUGGGUAUAUUUCAGUUUUGCUAGAUGAAAAAGUUCUGGAGAUUAGUUGCACAACAAUGUGAAUGUACUUACUACUGAGUUGCAGACUGAAAAAUGGUUAGUAUGGGCCAGGCGUGGUGGCUCACACCUAUAAUCCCAACACUUUGGGAGGCCAAGGUGGGCAGAUCACUUGAUGUCAGGAGUUCAAGACCAACCUGGCCAACAUGGUGAAACCCAUCUCUACUAAAAAUACAAAAAAAUCAGCCACGCGUGGUGGCGCAUGCCUGUAAUCCCAGCUACACGGGAGGCUGAAGCACGAGAAUUGCUUGAACCCAGGAGGCAGAGGUUACAGUGAGCCGAGAUCACGCCACUGUACUCCAGCCUGGGCAACAGAGCUAGACUCUGUCUCCAAAAAAAAAAAAGAGUUAGGAUGGUAAAUUUAAUGUUAUGUAUACUUUUCCACAAUUGUUAAUUAAUUUUUUAAAGUGCAGCUUUUGAUGGCACACAUAUCUCUCCCUCUUCUUUGUCUCCAGAAGAUGAGAGGGAGCAUAGACAGCAGACAGGAUACAUCAUGUUAUUGCAUUUAUUUCUGUAGACCAUGCAUUGAGGCUGUCUGACCUUCAAUUAUUCAUUAAACAAAUAUUUACUGAGUUGAGUACUUACUACAUGCCAAGCAUUGUUCUAGAGGCUGGAGUUACAGCAGUGAACAGAAAAAGAUCUCCCCAGUUCCCUAGCCACAGGGAUCUCACCUUCUAGCAGGUGGAGAAAAACAAUAAAUAAAUAAGCAAGUAAGAUAUAUGGUAAUUAUAUGGCAAUAAGAGCUAUGGAGAAAAAUAAAGCAAAGAAGGAGGAAGAAGAAGAGUGUUUCAGGGUUGUAUUUUUAAAUAAGGUGGUCAGGGGAGACCUCACUGAGAGGAAGGUAUUUGAGUAAGACUUGAAUGAGAUUAGGGAGUUAGCUAUUUAGGUAUCUGCAGGAAGAGUGUUUCAGACAAAAUAAAAAGUCAGUGCAAAGGCCCUGAGGCCGAAACAUGAAUGGUGUGUUUAAGGAAAAGCAAAGGGGCCAUUGUGGCUGGAAAUGUAAGCAGCAGCAGGGAGACAGUCUAAGAAGAGGUUAGAAACAUCACAGAGGCAGCCCAGAUCAUGAAGGUUGAGACGGAGUCUCACGGUGUCACCUAGGCUGGAGUGCAGUGGCACAGACUUGGCUCACUGCAACUUCUGCGUCCCGGGUUCCAGUGAUUCUUCUGCUAUACCUCCCGAGUAACUGGGACUGCAGGCGCCCACCACCAUGCCCAGCGAGGUUUUAGUAGUAGUAGUAGUAGUAGUAGUAGUAGUAGUAGUAGUGGUAGAGAGCAUUUCACCAUGUUGGCCAGGCUGGUCUCAAACUCCUAACCUCAAGUGAUCCGCCCGCCUCAGCCUUCGAAAGUGCUGGGAUUACAGGCGUGAGCCACCGUGCCUGGCCCCAUUAUUUGUAAGACUUUGACUCCUACUCUGAGAUAGUAACUAGAGGAAUGAUAUGAUCCAACUUCCAUGUUAAAAGGAUCACUGGGGGUUGGAGGCGGGUGUGUCAAGGGCAGGAUCAGGAAGACUAGUAGGACUGCAAUACUCCAGGCAAGAGAUGCUGAGAGCUCAGCCCAAGCAGGUAGCUGUGGAGGUGGUAAGAUGUGGGCAGAUUCUGGGUAUAUUUUGAAGAUAGGGCCAACAGGGUUUACUGAGAGACUGGAGGUAAGGCUCUACAGAAAGAGAAAGAAGAGAAACAUUAAAGAUGACCGUAUCGGUUUCCUGGGGCUGCUGUAACACAUCACCACAAACUUGGCGGCUUAAAACAACAGAAAUUUAUUCUCUCACAGUUCUAAGGCCAGGAAGUCUGAGAUUAAGGGGUUCUUGCUUCCAGGGGCUCUAGAGCAGCAGUUCUCAUCCUUCCAGGGGCCGGUUUUGUGAAAGACAAUGUUUCCACGGACGGGGCAGGAGUGCUAGGGGAGAGAGGCAGCAGGGUGGUGGGUGUGUGUGUGGAUGGUUUCGGGAUGAAACUGCUCCACCUCAGAUCAUCAAGCAUUAGUUAGAUUCUCAUAAGAGCACGCAACCUAGAUCCCUCACGUGUGUUGUUCACAAUAGGGUUUGCGUUCCCAUGAGAAUCUAAUGGCACUGAUCUGAUAGGAGGUGGAGCUCAGGUGGCAAUGCUCAUGGGACCACUUACCUCCUGCUGUGCAGCCCAGUUCCCAACAGGCCAUGGACCAGUACCAUCGCAGCCCAGAGGUUGCAGACCCCUGCUAUAAAGGAUAUUCUAUUCCUUGUCUCUUCCAGCUUCUGGUGGAUCCAGGCGUUCCUUGGCUUGGGGUUACAUGACUCUAGUCUCUGCCUUCUCCUCUUUUCUGUGUCACCUGUCCCUUGUAAGGACAACUGUCAUUGGAUUUAGGACCCACCCAGAUAAUCCAGGAUGAUUCCACCAUGAAAUCCUUAACUUCAUUAAAUCUGCAAAGACCCUUUUUCUGGCAAACACAAAAAUGCUUCUGUUUGUUUUAAAAGAUAAACCAGUUUUGUUUAACUUUGUUUACUGCAGGCACUAGAAGUGCAAUUAGCCCUCUUGAAAUUUGGGAUUAUUUAAAAAUAAAGGCUGGGAGCGGUGGCUCACGCCUGAAAUCCCAGCACUUUGGGAGGCCAAGGCAAGUGGGUCACCUGAGAUCAGGAGUUCAAGACCAGCAAUGGCCAACAUGGAGAAACCCAGUCUCUACUAAAACUACAAAAAUUAGCCAGAUGUGGUGGCGGUUGCCUGUAAUCCCAGCUACAUGGGAGGCUGAGGCAGGAGAAUUGCUUGAACCUGGGAGGCAGAGGUUGCAGUGAGCUGAGAUCGCGCCAUUGCACUCCAGCCUGGGUGACAGUGAGACUCCAUCUCAAAAAAAAAAAAGGAUCCUUUUUCCAAAUCAGGUCACAUUCUCAGGGCCUGGGGAGGAUGUGGACAUACCUUUUUGUGAGCCACGAUUCAACUCACUACAAUGACUCUAACUUAUUUUAAUCUGAGCAACUGUAAAGAUGAACUUGCCAUUAACUGAGAUGGAGAAGAAUGCCAGUUUGGAAGAGGAGUCCAGGAGCUCAGUGCUGGACAUGUCAGGGUUGAGAUGCCUGUCUGACAUCCAGUGGAGCUGAUGAGUGGGCAGCUGGGUGAAUAAGCCUGAAGCUUGGGACAGAGGUAUGGAUUGGAGAUGGAAAUAUGAAGGUUCCCUGAUGUGGACAGCAUCUAAAGCCACGGACCCAUGAUCUCAACCAGGGGAGGAGUGUGGACAGAGGAGAAAACCAUCAGGGACUGAGCCCUGGGGCACACCAGGAUUCAGAGGACCCAGCCAAGAGACUGAGAAGGAGCAGCCGGGGAGAGAGGAGGCAAAACAGGAGAGUGUGAGGUCCUAGAAGGCAAGUGAGGGAACUGCUUUAAGGAAGAAGGAGUGAUCAACUCACAGUCUGGGCGUUCAAGUAAAAGUUGAAAUUUCCUAUGCAGUUUCCUGUAACAAGAUUGUGCACUUUUCAUGUCACUCCCCUCUUAUGAUGUAGGAAAGGCAGUGACAUCUGCUUAAAAUCAUCACUAAUACCCUUAUGUUAUAAUGAAGCAUAUUUUCAAAGCGUGUUGUUACCGUUUUUAUCAGCAUAGCUUUUCCCUUGGUUCCAUGUUCUAUGUCUACAACUCAGAAGGGAAAGAAAGGCACACGUCUCAGCCCCACACGGGGUCAGGAGAGACUGUUGAGCCUGAGUCCUGAGCUACUGUUGCCUGGAGUCACGCCAUUUUCCUAAUUUUUUGUUCCUGCAGUAAAAGUCUUGUCCUUAACAGCAGUGGUGGAUGUGUGAGGAAAAUCAAUCAGGGAAACUGUUUUAAAAGGUUUUAAAUGAUUACCAGAGCAUAGUAUAAUCACUUCAGGAACCAAGACAACAAUUUGACAAGUGAAAAACUCCCCAAAUUCCACUGGCUUGCCUGAAAGCCUGUUACAAAAAAAACAAACAUCUGACAAAUCAAUCAAUCUAGCUUAAACAUCCAAACAGAGUGCUUUGUCACCGAGUGAGGGAGAAGCAGCAUGAGAUGACUGGGUGGGUUUUCCACCAAAUGGACAUUCAGAAGAGACAACUUAAAUCUUGAGCUGUUUGGGAGGUUUUUAGUGAAUGAUAAUGAAUGGUUAAAUUAGAGAACUGAGUGCUAAAUCCUGAAGAAUAAAUAUGUUUUGUGGAAA